This is an RNA transcript of Salvia splendens (bonfire salvia), 2421 nucleotides long. RefSeq lists it as uncharacterized. NCBI's taxonomy places the organism in Eukaryota, Viridiplantae, Streptophyta, Magnoliopsida, Lamiales, Lamiaceae. The transcript is spliced from 7 exons. The record is from RefSeq and is a predicted model, not a curated record.
CUUUAUCUUCCCGACCAGGAAAGAAAGUUAGCAGCAGUUGAUCAGCUGAAGUUACGCCACAAUCUUCCACUUCCACCCCAAAACUUUGAAACCCUAAAGUAAAAAUUAUUCCUUUCCUCCAACUCAUAACCACUCACCCAAAAUUCAUAUCUAUCCAUCUAGGCAGGGAAGAGAGAGAAGAUAAUGACAAUCAAUGGUGUUUCCUUUGCUCAAAAAGAUUUCAAUUAUGGAUCCUAGCUGAAGAACCCACAAGGGAAAGACCCACAUUGCUGGAAAUUGUUUUCUGCUGAUGGGAAAGGCAGAAAAUUUGCAGCAUUUGGAGGGUACAACAUAUGAUGCUCAAGGCACAACCCCUGCUGCAGGGAGUACUAGUAGCUGCACUAGUGUUAGGAAUUUGGUGACCUUGAGAUGUGUUCUUGCUUUGGUUCUUGGUUUUGGGGUGCUUUUGUCUGCUGUUUUUUUGUUGCCAUUCUUUCAUUUUGGAGAUCGUCAAGAUCUGGAUCUGGAUUAUCAAGGUUAUGACGUCAUCGCAAGUUUUAUGCUGAAUAAAUCAGCUUCUUAUCUCUCAGACUGUAAGUUGCAACUAGAGAAUGAUAUUUUUGAUGAGAUUCCCUUCUCCAAUACUAAGGUGGAAAUAAUAAGCUUAGAGCCAGCUGGACCAAACACGACGAAGGUUGUGUUUGCGGUUGAAUCUGAUGCAACGACACGGAGUUUAAUAAGAGAACAUUUUGUGUAUCUAAUCUCGAAUCAGUCAGCUCUUACCUUGACUGCGCCUUUGUUUGGGGAUACCUUCUCGUUCGACGUCGUCAAAUUUAAAGGAGGGAUUACUGCCAGUCCAGACCAGAAGGCAUUCCUUUUGCAGAGUGUUAAGAUUCCAUUCAACUUUACCUUGAACUUCUCCAUUGAUGUACUCCUCAAAAAUUUCGACGAACUCACGAGCCAACUCAAAGUGGGCUUACGCUUAACUCCAUACGAGAAUUUGUAUAUUCGGCUCACUAAUUUGAAAGGGUCCACUGUACGUCCGCCUACAACAGUUGAGUCGCAAGUCGUGUUGGCUGUGGGCAUGAACCCUUCAAGAUUAAAGCAAUUGGCUCAAACUAUCACUGGUUCACACUCUAAGAAUCUUGGUCUGAACAAUACCGAAUUUGGUCGGGUUAAGCAAGUUCGUCUCUCCUCAAUCUUACAACACUCCCUCGGCAAUGACAAGCGAAGUCCUUCACCAUCACCUUCUCCUUCUCAAUCCCCAAUGUCGAAAUCCCACCACCACCACCACCACCAUCACCCUGCUCCUGCUGUCUCACCUUCUCCAUCGACAGCUCAUGGCAGGUCUUUCAGUGGGAUAGGAUCACCGGUACCUACGCCUGCAUCAGCUCCUGUAAAAUCAACGGAGCCUCCGUGCCCUUUUGGUCACAAUAACUGGUAUCCGUGGAAGCACAAGCAUCCUCGGAUGGCACCUACUGCACCACCAGUUUAUGCACCAUACAUUGCUCCAUCAUGGCCAAAGCAAAUGCAUAAGCCAGCACCAAGAAUUGCUCCAGCUACCGCUGAACGGCCAUCUCCUAGUGUAGCUCAUACUCAUAACCGGGCCCCCUCACCAAGUGAACAUCGUGCUAGGCCUCUGGACGUGAUGUCAAUAACAUCACCCUCUCCAUCUCCAUCUUCUGCAAAAAUGUUCUCCCUCAAAUCAUGGAUUCUGCUGUUAUUUACAUUGCUCGGGAUGGCUUUGUAGCUGCAGAAAGCGUCAGGGCUCGUUUUGGUUAGAGCAGGUGGAAACAACACUCUGACCCAAUCAUAUGCCACGGCUUGAAUUAUUCUCAUGGUUAAGUGUUGGAAAAUGCAGAUUUAUUGCUGAAUUUGGAAGAUUUUAUCAUUCUGUUGAGUAUGUCCACAUCGGUGCAUAAAUCGAGCGGGAGGACUUAGACAAGGGUUGAAGUAAUGGUUCGAAACAACGGUCAUGAAGCUGAAGUUAUGACAUCGAAGACGGAGGCCAAUCCCGGACGACGCUUCUAUCGUUCCCGUGUAUGGAAGAAUGAUGAUUGUAAAUGCUUUCGUUGGAUUGAUCCCUCUUUGUUACCGAAUCAAGAGAUAUUUUCAAAAUUUGAAGAUGGAGAGGGAUAGCAUGGAAGAGCAAUUGAAAAAAAGAAUUGUUAUGCAGGAUAUCAUUCAAGAGAAAGUCUGUAAAAAAAAACUAAUGAAUUUGAAUCACUCCAAAUUGUUGCUGAAACUUUGCAUCGUCAAAAAGCUGAAAUUUCAAGGUCGUCGUUGGAUUUUUAUGUAUCGUCAUUUGGCUACUUAUCUAGCUUAUUGUAAUAGCUUUGGAAGUUGAAGUCCAACGUAAUACACUACUAAACAAUGAAUUUUUGUAGUGAUUUUGUCAUAUGAAUGCAUUGAGUAAUGAGUUCAACUUUAAGGUUUUGCUUA